CGGUACGAGAUGAGCCCGCGGCCUAUCAGCUUGUUGGUGGGGUAAUGGCCUACCAAGGCGUCGACGGGUAGCCGGCCUGAGAGGGUGGACGGCCACAUUGGGACUGAGAUACGGCCCAGACUCCUACGGGAGGCAGCAGUGGGGAAUAUUGCACAAUGGGCGCAAGCCUGAUGCAGCGACGCCGCGUGAGGGAUGACGGCCUUCGGGUUGUAAACCUCUUUCGACAGGGACGAAGCUUUUUGUGACGGUACCUGUAUAAGAAGCACCGGCUAACUACGUGCCAGCAGCCGCGGUAAUACGUAGGGUGCGAGCGUUGUCCGGAAUUACUGGGCGUAAAGAGCUCGUAGGUGGUUUGUCGCGUCGUCUGUGAAAUUCCGGGGCUUAACUCCGGGCGUGCAGGCGAUACGGGCAUAACUUGAGUGCUGUAGGGGAGACUGGAAUUCCUGGUGUAGCGGUGGAAUGCGCAGAUAUCAGGAGGAACACCGAUGGCGAAGGCAGGUCUCUGGGCAGUAACUGACGCUGAGGAGCGAAAGCAUGGGGAGCGAACAGGAUUAGAUACCCUGGUAGUCCAUGCCGUAAACGGUGGGCGCUAGGUGUGAGGGUCUUCCACGACUUUCGUGCCGUAGCUAACGCAUUAAGCGCCCCGCCU
RNAcentral lists this ribosomal RNA (649 nucleotides) under Corynebacterium pseudotuberculosis. RNAcentral's name for it is "bacterial SSU rRNA". It matches the Rfam family "Bacterial small subunit ribosomal RNA", at positions 216 to 874 of the family's 1533-position model. The record is from RNAcentral. Lineage: Bacteria; Bacillati; Actinomycetota; Actinomycetes; Mycobacteriales; Corynebacteriaceae.